UAAGUUAAUAAGGGCGCACGGUGGAUGCCUUGGCACUAGGAGCCGACGAAGGACGUGACAAACGACGAUAUGCCUUGGGUAGCUGUAAGUAAGCGAUGAUCCAGGGAUUUCCGAAUGGGGGAACCCAACAGGUAAUACCUGUUACCUACAUCUGUUAAGGAUGUGAGGAGGAAGACGCAGUGAACUGAAACAUCUAAGUAGCUGCAGGAAGAGAAAGCAAAAGCGAUUGCCUUAGUAGCGGCGAGCGAAACGGCAGAAGGGCAAACCGAAGAGUUUACUCUUCGGGGUUGUAGGACUGCAAUGUGGACUCAAAGAUUAUAGAAGAAUGAUUUGGGAAGAUCAGCCAAAGAGAGUAAUAGCCUCGUAUUUAAAAUAGUCUUUGUACUUAGCAGUAUCCUGAGUACGGCGGGACACGUGAAAUCCCGUCGGAAUCUGGGAGGACCAUCUCCCAACCCUAAAUACUCCCUAGUGACCGAUAGUGAACCAGUACCGUGAGGGAAAGGUGAAAAGCACCCCGGGAGGGGAGUGAAAUAGAACCUGAAACCGUGUGCCUACAACAAGUUCGAGCCCGUUAAUGGGUGAGAGCGUGCCUUUUGUAGAAUGAACCGGCGAGUUACGUUAUGAUGCGAGGUUAAGUUGAAGAGACGGAGCCGUAGGGAAACCGAGUCUGAAUAGGGCGCCUUAGUAUCAUGACGUAGACCCGAAACCAUGUGACCUACCCAUGAGCAGGUUGAAGGUGCGGUAAGACGCACUGGAGGACCGAACCAGGGCACGUUGAAAAGUGCUUGGAUGACUUGUGGGUAGCGGAGAAAUUCCAAACGAACUUGGAGAUAGCUGGUUCUCUCCGAAAUAGCUUUAGGGCUAGCGUCGACAUUAGAGAUUCUUGGAGGUAGAGCACUGUUUGGGUGAGGGGUCCAUCCCGGAUUACCAAUCUCAGAUAAACUCCGAAUGCCAAUGAAUUAUGGUCGGCAGUCAGACUGCGAGUGCUAAGAUCCGUAGUCGAAAGGGAAACAGCCCAGACCACCAGCUAAGGUCCCAAAAUAAUUGUUAAGUGGAAAAGGAUGUGGGGUUGCACAGACAACUAGGAUGUUAGCUUAGAAGCAGCUAUUCAUUCAAAGAGUGCGUAAUAGCUCACUAGUCGAGUGACCCUGCGCCGAAAAUGUACCGGGGCUAAAACAAUUUACCGAAGCUGUGGAUACCUUUAUAGGUAUGGUAGGAGAGCGUUCUAUGUGUGAUGAAGGUAUACCGUGAGGAGUGCUGGAACGCAUAGAAGUGAGAAUGCCGGUAUGAGUAGCGAAAGACAGGUGAGAAUCCUGUCCACCGUAAGACUAAGGUUUCCAGGGGAAGGCUCGUCCGCCCUGGGUUAGUCGGGACCUAAGGAGAGACCGAAAGGUGUAUCCGAUGGACAACAGGUUGAUAUUCCUGUACUAGAGUAUGUAGUGAUGGAGGGACGCAGUAGGCUAACUAAAGCAGACGAUUGGAAGAGUCUGUCUAAGCAGUGAGGUGUGAAUUGAGUCAAAUGCUUAAUUCUAUAACAUUGAGCUGUGAUGGGGAGCGAAGUUUAGUAGCGAAGUUAGUGACGUCACACUGCCAAGAAAAGCUUCUAGCGUUUAAACAUACUCUACCCGUACCGCAAACCGACACAGGUAGUCGAGGCGAGUAGCCUCAGGUGAGCGAGAGAACUCUCGUUAAGGAACUCGGCAAAAUGACCCCGUAACUUCGGGAGAAGGGGUGCUGACUUAAAGUCAGCCGCAGUGAAUAGGCCCAAGCAACUGUUUAUCAAAAACACAGCUCUCUGCUAAAUCGUAAGAUGAUGUAUAGGGGGUGACGCCUGCCCGGUGCUGGAAGGUUAAGAGGAGUGCUUAGCGUAAGCGAAGGUAUGAAUUGAAGCCCCAGUAGACGGCGGCCGUAACUAUAACGGUCCUAAGGUAGCGAAAUUCCUUGUCGGGUAAGUUCCGACCCGCACGAAAGGCGUAAUGAUUUGGGCACUGUCUCAACGAGAGACUCGGUGAAAUUUUAGUACCUGUGAAGAUGCAGGUUACCCGCGACAGGACGGAAAGACCCCAUGGAGCUUUACUGCAGUUUGAUAUUGAGUGUCUGUACCACAUGUACAGGAUAGGUAGGAGUCUAAGAGAUCGGGACGCCAGUUUCGAAGGAGACGCUGUUGGGAUACUACCCUUGUGUUAUGGCCACUCUAACCCAGAUAGGUGAUCCCUAUCGGAGACAGUGUCUGACGGGCAGUUUGACUGGGGCGGUCGCCUCCUAAAAGGUAACGGAGGCGCCCAAAGGUUCCCUCAGAAUGGUUGGAAAUCAUUCGCAGAGUGUAAAGGUAUAAGGGAGCUUGACUGCGAGAGCUACAACUCGAGCAGGGACGAAAGUCGGGCUUAGUGAUCCGGUGGUUCCGUAUGGAAGGGCCAUCGCUCAACGGAUAAAAGCUACCCUGGGGAUAACAGGCUUAUCUCCCCCAAGAGUUCACAUCGACGGAGAGGUUUGGCACCUCGAUGUCGGCUCGUCGCAUCCUGGGGCUGUAGUCGGUCCCAAGGGUUGGGCUGUUCGCCCAUUAAAGCGGCACGCGAGCUGGGUUCAGAACGUCGUGAGACAGUUCGGUCCCUAUCCGUCGCGGGCGUAGGAAAUUUGAGAGGAUCUGCUCCUAGUACGAGAGGACCAGAGUGGACUUACCGCUGGUGUACCAGUUGUCUUGCCAAAGGCAUCGCUGGGUAGCUAUGUAGGGAAGGGAUAAACGCUGAAAGCAUCUAAGUGUGAAACCCACCUCAAGAUGAGAUUUCCCAUGAUUAUAUAUCAGUAAGAGCCCUGAGAGAUGAUCAGGUAGAUAGGUUAGAAGUGGAAGUGUGGCGACACAUGUAGCGGACUAAUACUAAUAGCUCGAGGACUUAUCCA
Molecule: ribosomal RNA, 2898 nt
Filed under: Streptococcus pneumoniae 6901-05
Lineage: Bacteria; Bacillati; Bacillota; Bacilli; Lactobacillales; Streptococcaceae
Description: bacterial LSU rRNA
Rfam family: Bacterial large subunit ribosomal RNA
Source: RNAcentral